Long non-coding RNA from Topomyia yanbarensis, 871 nucleotides. RefSeq lists it as uncharacterized. The transcript is spliced from 2 exons. The record is from RefSeq and is a predicted model, not a curated record. NCBI's taxonomy places the organism in Eukaryota, Metazoa, Arthropoda, Insecta, Diptera, Culicidae.
CCUUGCUCCAUUCAUCGUUCGGUCGGCGCCUCGAUAGAUAGUACGUACUCGCGUAGUCCGCUCGCAACCCUCUUCCUAUUUUUUAGAAUUUUUGCUUUUGAAUAAAAACAGUACUGACUCGAUCAGGAAACUAGUGCUAAAAUCUAAUAUUAGACGUUGUAACCGAACUAUUUGCAUUUUUUCAUACAAACAAACACCUCAAAAACCCAAAAUGUGCAAGUGCAUAGCUGGAAGCGUUGUCUGCUGCUGCUGCCAGUGCGCCAUGAGCGUAUUCAUCUCGCUGCUGUUUGUGGGCAUACUGCUCGCGGCGGCCAUUGCCGCCGGGAUCUACUUUGGAGUGCUGAACGUCGACGACAAAGCCCCGGAGCUGUCGGAGUUUGUGCACAAAACUGGCGACUCGAUCAAGGAUGCCGUCAAAGAUAAGCUCAACUAAGUGACUAAGCGACAGGAAGGUGUCAGCGGGGGAGUUUUGAAUCUCUACAAAUGAACAUUUAGAUCUGGAUAUACCUUUGUAUUUAUAUACAUAAAAGCCAUCAACUGGAUUACAUUAGCUAGAUUUUUUUUAAACCAUGAGAGGCGAAUUUUAGCGCGUAUUAGAAUAUACAAAAAAAUGCAAAUCAGAUCCAUGUGCUUUAACAGCUAAAAAUACAGCAGCGGGUUUCUAUAUGAAACCUAUUUGCAUAAGUACAAUAACAAUGAAUAGAUUAUAACCAAAAUAAAAACAAACCAUAAACUGCAGAUAAAACAAUCUCCGUCGAACAACAAAAUUCAAAUCGAAAAGUGGCUUGAUAAGUGUGAACUAUGCAACAUAUGUAAAUAUGAUUUCGAGUAUUUAUGUUCUUAAAAUAUAAUAAUUUAUGUAUACUAUUGA